RNAcentral lists this ribosomal RNA (253 nucleotides) under uncultured bacterium. RNAcentral describes it as "partial 16S ribosomal RNA". It matches the Rfam family "Bacterial small subunit ribosomal RNA", at positions 524 to 776 of the family's 1533-position model. The record is from RNAcentral.
UACGUAGGAUGCGAGCGUCGUCCGGAUUUAUUGGGCGUAAGGCGAACGUAGGUGGCUUUUUAAGUUUGGUCUUAAAGACUGGGGCUCAACCCCAGGAGUGGACUGAAUACUGGGAAGCUAGAGGAUGUUAGAGGAAAGUGGAAUUCCAAGUGUAGCGGUGAAAUGCGUAGAUAUUUGGAGGAACACCAGUGGCGAAAGCGACUUUCUGGGACAUUCCUGACACUGAGGUUCGAAAGCUCGGGGAGCAAACAGG